RNAcentral lists this ribosomal RNA (1258 nucleotides) under Staphylococcus aureus. RNAcentral describes it as "bacterial SSU rRNA". It matches the Rfam family "Bacterial small subunit ribosomal RNA", at positions 135 to 1379 of the family's 1533-position model. Lineage: Bacteria; Bacillati; Bacillota; Bacilli; Caryophanales; Staphylococcaceae. The record is from RNAcentral.
AGACUGGGAUAACUUCGGGAAACCGGAGCUAAUACCGGAUAAUAUUUUGAACCGCAUGGUUCAAAAGUGAAAGACGGUCUUGCUGUCACUUAUAGAUGGAUCCGCGCUGCAUUAGCUAGUUGGUAAGGUAACGGCUUACCAAGGCAACGAUGCAUAGCCGACCUGAGAGGGUGAUCGGCCACACUGGAACUGAGACACGGUCCAGACUCCUACGGGAGGCAGCAGUAGGGAAUCUUCCGCAAUGGGCGAAAGCCUGACGGAGCAACGCCGCGUGAGUGAUGAAGGUCUUCGGAUCGUAAAACUCUGUUAUUAGGGAAGAACAUAUGUGUAAGUAACUGUGCACAUCUUGACGGUACCUAAUCAGAAAGCCACGGCUAACUACGUGCCAGCAGCCGCGGUAAUACGUAGGUGGCAAGCGUUAUCCGGAAUUAUUGGGCGUAAAGCGCGCGUAGGCGGUUUUUUAAGUCUGAUGUGAAAGCCCACGGCUCAACCGUGGAGGGUCAUUGGAAACUGGAAAACUUGAGUGCAGAAGAGGAAAGUGGAAUUCCAUGUGUAGCGGUGAAAUGCGCAGAGAUAUGGAGGAACACCAGUGGCGAAGGCGACUUUCUGGUCUGUAACUGACGCUGAUGUGCGAAAGCGUGGGGAUCAAACAGGAUUAGAUACCCUGGUAGUCCACGCCGUAAACGAUGAGUGCUAAGUGUUAGGGGGUUUCCGCCCCUUAGUGCUGCAGCUAACGCAUUAAGCACUCCGCCUGGGGAGUACGACCGCAAGGUUGAAACUCAAAGGAAUUGACGGGGACCCGCACAAGCGGUGGAGCAUGUGGUUUAAUUCGAAGCAACGCGAAGAACCUUACCAAAUCUUGACAUCCUUUGACAACUCUAGAGAUAGAGCCUUCCCCUUCGGGGGACAAAGUGACAGGUGGUGCAUGGUUGUCGUCAGCUCGUGUCGUGAGAUGUUGGGUUAAGUCCCGCAACGAGCGCAACCCUUAAGCUUAGUUGCCAUCAUUAAGUUGGGCACUCUAAGUUGACUGCCGGUGACAAACCGGAGGAAGGUGGGGAUGACGUCAAAUCAUCAUGCCCCUUAUGAUUUGGGCUACACACGUGCUACAAUGGACAAUACAAAGGGCAGCGAAACCGCGAGGUCAAGCAAAUCCCAUAAAGUUGUUCUCAGUUCGGAUUGUAGUCUGCAACUCGACUACAUGAAGCUGGAAUCGCUAGUAAUCGUAGAUCAGCAUGCUACGGUGAAUACGUUCCCGGGU